This 253-nucleotide ribosomal RNA is filed under the name uncultured bacterium. RNAcentral's name for it is "partial 16S ribosomal RNA". It matches the Rfam family "Bacterial small subunit ribosomal RNA", at positions 524 to 776 of the family's 1533-position model. The record is from RNAcentral.
UACGUAGGUGGCAAGCGUUGUCCGGAUUUAUUGGGUUUAAAGGGUGCGUAGGCGGCUUUGUAAGUCAGUGGUGAAAUAUGGCAGCUCAACUGUCAGGGUGCCAUUGAUACUGCGGAGCUUGAGUACAGAUGAGGUAGGCGGAAUUGACGGUGUAGCGGUGAAAUGCUUAGAUAUCGUCAAGAACACCGAUAGUGAAGACAGCUUACUAGACUUCAACUGACGCUGAGGCACGAAAGUGUGGGGAUCAAACAGG